Molecule: long non-coding RNA, 263 nt
Filed under: Elaeis guineensis (African oil palm)
Lineage: Eukaryota; Viridiplantae; Streptophyta; Magnoliopsida; Arecales; Arecaceae
Description: long non-coding RNA (EGUI_LNC063613)
Source: RNAcentral
GCACAAACAGCUCCUUAAAUGAGCAUAAUAAAAAUAAUAAAAGUACAAUACUCAAGGAGUAGAAGCCUUUGCUGAACACUCUUAAAUGAUUGAAACAUUUGAAUGCUGCUGGAGAGUGGUUGGUGAGCUGAUUGAAUGCUUCUUUCUCCUCUUUCUAAGAUUUUCUUUCUCUUUCACGGAUUUGAGCUUGAAUGCUUCUUUCUUGUUUGAUUUCUCACCUCUAGAGAGUAUUUAUAGUCUUCAUUUUAUCUUAAGAGUGUCUU